CCUACGGGAGGCAGCAGUGGGGAAUAUUGGUCAAUGGGCGCAAGCCUGACCCAGCAACGCCGCGUGAAGGAAGAAGGCUUUCGGGUUGUAAACUUCUUUUCUCAGGGACGAAGCAAGUGACGGUACCUGAGGAAUAAGCCACGGCUAACUACGUGCCAGCAGCCGCUGUAAUACGUAGGUGGCAAGCGUUAUCCGGAUUUGCUGGGUGUAAAGGGCGUGUAGGCGGGACGGCAAGUCAGAUGUGAAAACCACGGGCUCAACCUGUGGCCUGCAUUUGAUACUGUAGUUCUUGAGUACUGGGGAGGCAGACGGAAUUCCUAGUGUAGCGGUGAAAUGCGUAGAUAUUAGGAGGAACACCAGUGGCGAAGGCGGUCUGCUGGACAGCAACUGACGCUGAGGCGCGAAAGCGUGGGGAGCAAACAGGAUUAGAUACCCGUGUAGUC
Molecule: ribosomal RNA, 443 nt
Filed under: uncultured bacterium
Lineage: Bacteria
Description: partial 16S ribosomal RNA
Rfam family: Bacterial small subunit ribosomal RNA
Source: RNAcentral